UAUGUAUUAUAAUUUAUGACUUCUGAUCUUUUCAUUAUUCAUUUUUUUGGUGUUUUGGGGUCAUUAGUGGUGUGUUUUCUAGUGAAGCCGAUGAUGACAAAAUCAAAUUGGUAUAACUUUGGUCUUGUUUGGUAAAACUUUUCAAGUGCUUCCCAUUUCUAUAUAAUUCUCUCAAACCAAAUAUAAGUCAUUCUCUUAAAAUGCUCUUCUAAUUAAGGCAAAAAGUUUGUCUUCAAGUAUGUUAUCGGUGCUAUCUUUACCACUUUUUAUGGAUGGAAUGGAGUGGUGCAACUUCUAAUUGUAAAGGUGAUGAAUGAUACUGCGAGUAGCACUCUGGAAGCUGUUAUGUUACAGGGACUAUGGUUAUCACUUGCAAAAGUAGGAUUUAGAGUGAUAAUGGUUGAAGCAUAAAUGGUUUUUACUUGGUUGUUUUGGAAAUCUAUGGCAUAUUGACGGUUGCAGACUUGUUGAUUAACAAACCAAUUUGGCAUAUUAAUUGUAGUAAAAUCCAUUUUACUAGAUUGAUAACAAACGCCUCCAGGCUCCAAUUAUUUGUGAAACAAUUGAAAUUAUGGGUAGGAAAUCAUUUUAAUAUUCAAUUUAGGAGCCCAAACAAAUUAUAAAACAUUUUCUAUCUAAAAUGCACCCAUGUC
This 653-nucleotide long non-coding RNA is filed under the name Medicago truncatula (barrel medic). RNAcentral's name for it is "lncRNA gene16297". The record is from RNAcentral. Lineage: Eukaryota; Viridiplantae; Streptophyta; Magnoliopsida; Fabales; Fabaceae.